GCAAGUGUAGCUUAAUUAAAGCAUAACGCUGAAGACGUUAAGACGGGCCGUAAAAAGCCCCACAAGCA
This 68-nucleotide transfer RNA is filed under the name Ogcocephalus parvus (roughback batfish). Its description in RNAcentral is "tRNA-Phe". It matches the Rfam family "tRNA". From Rfam's summary of the family: Transfer RNA (tRNA) molecules are approximately 80 nucleotides in length. Their secondary structure includes four short double-helical elements and three loops (D, anti-codon, and T loops). Further hydrogen bonds mediate the characteristic L-shaped molecular structure. tRNAs have two regions of fundamental functional importance: the anti-codon, which is responsible for specific mRNA codon recognition, and the 3' end, to which the tRNAs corresponding amino acid is attached (by aminoacyl-tRNA synthetases). tRNAs cope with the degeneracy of the genetic code in two manners: having more than one tRNA (with a specific anti-codon) for a particular amino acid; and 'wobble' base-pairing, i.e. permitting non-standard base-pairing at the 3rd anti-codon position. Lineage: Eukaryota; Metazoa; Chordata; Actinopteri; Lophiiformes; Ogcocephalidae. The record is from RNAcentral.